Thamnophis sirtalis is the source of this 451-nucleotide non-coding RNA. Lineage: Eukaryota; Metazoa; Chordata; Lepidosauria; Squamata; Natricidae. The record is from RefSeq and is a predicted model, not a curated record.
CCGCUCUAGACGCUAGCAAACCUCUCUAUAUAGAACGCACAAUGGAGUCAGUAGCGCAUUUUUUCACUGUUUUUAAAUUAAGUCCCAAUUUUAUAACCCUUGGAGAUGAUGAGAGCUCACUCCGUUACGCGGCGCUCGGGAUUCGAACUGCCAAACUUUCUGAUCGACAAGCUUAGCAUCUUAGCCACGGAGCAAGCUUUAAACAGAACAGGAUCUGGAAGUUUACACCUUGGAGCUGUGACAACUGCGGAUCUCACAUCUUAAGGCCUUGGGAGGAUGACAAUCGGCAUCCAGUAGAACAAGAAGAAAUGAAAACUCUUGAACCGAAGAACAGAAUUGGUGAUUCUUCAUUUGAAACUGACUUUUUACAGUGGGGAGAAAUCCAUCGAUGAAAAAGUCUAAAAGGGAAAUCAAGACGUUGGAAUAAACCAAUGUUAUCUUUAUGGGCUCA